AUUGAACGCUGGCGGCAUGCUUUACACAUGCAAGUCGAACGGUAACAGGCCGCAAGGUGCUGACGAGUGGCGAACGGGUGAGUAAUGCAUCGGAACGUGCCCAGUCGUGGGGGAUAACUACUCGAAAGAGUAGCUAAUACCGCAUACGAUCUAUGGAUGAAAGCGGGGGACCGUAAGGCCUCGCGCGAUUGGAGCGGCCGAUGUCAGAUUAGGUAGUUGGUGGGGUAAAGGGUCACCAAGCCAACGAUCUGUAGCUGGUCUGAGAGGACGACCAGCCACACUGGGACUGAGACACGGCCCAGACUCCUACGGGAGGCAGCAGUGGGGAAUUUUGGACAAUGGGCGCAAGCCUGAUCCAGCAAUGCCGCGUGCAGGAAGAAGGCCUUCGGGUUGUAAACUGCUUUUGUACGGAACGAAACGGCUCUGGUUAAUACCCGGGGCUAAUGACGGUACCGUAAGAAUAAGCACCGGCUAACUACGUG
RNAcentral lists this ribosomal RNA (482 nucleotides) under uncultured bacterium. Its description in RNAcentral is "partial 16S ribosomal RNA". It matches the Rfam family "Bacterial small subunit ribosomal RNA", at positions 30 to 507 of the family's 1533-position model. The record is from RNAcentral.